This 610-nucleotide ribosomal RNA is filed under the name Euhadra peliomphala. RNAcentral's name for it is "partial 12S ribosomal RNA". Lineage: Eukaryota; Metazoa; Mollusca; Gastropoda; Stylommatophora; Camaenidae. The record is from RNAcentral.
GUACAUGAUUUUAGAUAUAUUCAUUGCUUAUGCUUAUUGGAGAUUACAUUUAAGUCCUUCUUUGUACGCUUUUUCAAAGCGGCCUCUGCUAUUUAAUGUAACUCGCCCAAUCUUCUAGAUAGUCUGCACCUUGAUCUGUAAUAUAGUUAUACUAACUAUGUGAUAAUAUAUUGUAUAUCAACUGACGACGACGGCAUACAAAAUAUUUCAUGAAGUAGAUUACCUUGGUGGUUAUCAAUUACUCGGUAAGUUCCCCUAAAUUUUAAAAUCACCGCCAUGCUAUUUGAGUUUUAACCAGAAGGGUUUUAGUACUCAGUGUUUUUUUUGUGGGUACUGUAUAAAAGGGUAUCUAAUCCUUGUUUAUGUGCAAUAUUUGUGUCUUUUUGCUUACAUGGGGUUAUAGAUAUAAUUUCACCAAUAUUUAUUAUUGUAAGAUAAACUACACUCUCUGUUGUUCAUUACUAUAAAAGUUUGACCGCGACUGCUGGCACUUUUUGAGUCAUAGUAGAUGUAAUUGGUUUAAUCUUACUUUCGUAAAUUUGUAAAUUUCCUUGCCUGGGCAUGCCUUAAAGUGCCAUAAGUAUCCUAUUAUGUACGAACUUUUCACCAU